Molecule: ribosomal RNA, 293 nt
Filed under: uncultured prokaryote
Description: partial 16S ribosomal RNA
Rfam family: Archaeal small subunit ribosomal RNA
Source: RNAcentral
GUGCCAGCCGCCGCGGUAAUACCGGCGGCUCGAGUGGUGGCCGCUAUUACUGGGCUUAAAGGGUCCGUAGCUUGAUAAUUGGGUCCCUUGAGAAAUCCGCCAGCUUAACUGGCGGGCGUUCAGGGGAAACUGGUUUUCUAGGGACCGGGAGAGGUGAGAGGUACUGCCGGGGUAGGAGUGAAAUCCUGUAAUCCCGGUGGGACCACCUAUGGCGAAGGCAUCUCACCAGAACGGGUCCGACAGUGAGGGACGAAAGCUGGGGGAGCAAACCGGAUUAGAUACCCGGGUAGUCC